This 501-nucleotide ribosomal RNA is filed under the name uncultured bacterium. RNAcentral describes it as "partial 16S ribosomal RNA". It matches the Rfam family "Bacterial small subunit ribosomal RNA", at positions 30 to 523 of the family's 1533-position model. The record is from RNAcentral.
AUUGAACGCUGGCGGCAGGCUUAACACAUGCAAGUCGAGCGGAGAGAGGUAGCUUGCUACUGAUCUUAGCGGCGGACGGGUGAGUAAUGCUUAGGAACCUGCCUAUUAGUGGGGGACAACAUUUCGAAAGGAAUGCUAAUACCGCAUACGUCCUACGGGAGAAAGCAGGGGAUCUUCGGACCUUGCGCUAAUAGAUGAGCCUAAGUCGGAUUAGCUAGUUGGUGGGGUAAAGGCCUACCAAGGCGACGAUCUGUAGCGGGUCUGAGAGGAUGAUCGGCCACACUGGGACUGAGACACGGCCCAGACUCCUACGGGAGGCAGCAGUGGGGAAUAUUGGACAAUGGGCGGAAGUCUGAUCCAGCCAUGCCGCGUGUGUGAAGAAGGCCUUAUGGUUGUAAAGCACUUUAAGCGAGGAGGAGGCUACUUUAGUUAAUACCUAGAGAUAGUGGACGUUACUCGCAGAAUAAGCACCGGCUAGCUCUGUGCCAGCCGCCGCCGUAA